This is a long non-coding RNA of Sphaeramia orbicularis (orbiculate cardinalfish), 1535 nucleotides long. RefSeq lists it as uncharacterized. The transcript has 2 exons. NCBI's taxonomy places the organism in Eukaryota, Metazoa, Chordata, Actinopteri, Kurtiformes, Apogonidae. The record is from RefSeq and is a predicted model, not a curated record.
ACAUAACAUGAUGCUGUUAAAUCAAUGUAAAAAUGAAUAAAUGAGAUAAAACAACAUCAUGUAUGAGAAUAUAAAUUAGUAAUCAAACAGGAUAAAAUCACAUUUAAAAAGUUUAAAUUAAAAUUGCUGUACAUCUUAUUAAAUAAAUAGAGGCUCCACAACUCCACCUUGGCAGGAGGGUGAGCUGUCAAUCACUCCCAAUACAAGUCCAUGCUAUUAGCCCAGAAAUGUCAAACAAGAGUUCACACAAAGUACACAUAUUAGAUGGCCUACAUACAGAGAUUUAGACCAUAUUGGUGAUUUGAAAGAAAAAAAAAAAAGAUUUAAUAUUUCUAAGGGGAAGUUCAGUGGAAGUGAAUUGGAGCCAAGGCCUAGUAGCUGUAUAGUGGUAUUACAACAUGGGAUAUUUGAUAUUUGAUAUGAUGAAGCUAUCUUGUCAAGCAGAUGAAGCGUAUGACCACAAAAGUCAAAUUUGCUGAAUGAAUAUAUGGAUUUUAACAUGGCAAAGCACUCCAGGUUUCCUCUUUGAGGCUGAACAUCAUUAUCAUUUCCUUGCUGUUUUUAUAGAUAAAUAUUCCUCAAACUUUAAUACAUGUUUAUUAUUGUAAACAUGAUGGUGAAGGUGCAUUUUUUAUUAUUACUUUAAUCUAUGAGUUCACAAUGUUAUUUUUACUGUACCUACUUGCUCAGGUUAGUGGAGAACCUCUAUGUCCUAUAAGUAUGUGGAAUUUAAUUUAAUGCCACGUUCUGAAGGGUCACCCCAGAACUUAAGGACAGUGGGAAAAAAACAGAACCAAGGACAAUUCAGUUAUGGGUCGGAAAGUUCUUAUAGCGGAAAAGCUACAGGGUUGAAACAGGACUUUAUUGCCUUGUUACAGUUUAUGUUUCACAUGGGCAAAGGAGGCCCUACCUGCCCAACCGGUCCAUUGAGCUCCGGUCAGAACAAGCUGCCAAAAGCCGACCCCAGCUGCCUUCCCUUUCUGCCUCUUUCAGGAGAUUUUAACCACUCAGCUGAGGCUCCUCUCUGUGCCAAGGCUGCUCUUCAGGCUCAUCUUUUGAGCUCCAUCUUUAUUUACACACCCAGUUUCUUUGUGUACCUACCACCUUUUGGCCGAUGUUAUUCAUGCUGACACCUUACGUUAACCAAUUUGGUCUUUUAUGAAACCUGUCACAAUGAAAACUACUUUAUCCUGCCCACUGCAGUGCCACCUGCCUCUCUUGUCUCUCUCUCUCUGUGUUUUCAUAGCGUGGAGAAUCAAGAACUGCCUCAGAUGUGCUUUCUGAAGACCAUCAUGCUCUGCUUAAUAACAUCUGAGCCGUGCUGUGCUUUUGACUGUGCUACAGUAUCCAUUUUAACCUCUUUACAGAGAUCAUCCACAUAUAGAUUUGGCAAUGUAUGUUGGUUUCUCUUUGAUGUACUAGUGAACUUCCUACACCGUGUGAGAGGAAUCAGUGUAUGACAGAAAUUUAUUUUUGGUGUUUCUCUUCCUCUAAACAGUAUUUUCUCUGCCUAAUAAAAAUACGUAUUCUGGCUA